GGCGACCGGCGGCACGGGUGAGUAACACGUAUAGCGAACCUGCCUGUAAGCGGGGAAGUAACCCGUUGAAAGACGGACUAAUACCGCAUAAUACUAAAUUACUGCAUGGUAAUUUAUUUAAACAUUUAUGGCUUACAGAUGGGCAUGCGCAUGAUUAGCUAGUUGGAGAGGUAACGGCUCCCCAAGGCAACGAUCAUUAGAGGUUCUGAGAGGAAGGUCCCCCCACACUGGUACUGAGACACGGACCAGACUCCUACGGGAGGCAGCAGUGAGGAAUAUUGGUCAAUGGACGAGAGUCUGAACCAGCCAAGUCGCGUGCAGGAAGAAUGUUCCCUAUGGAUUGUAAACUGCUUUUGCAGGGGAAUAAAGUGCAUCACGUGUGAUGUUUUGUAUGUACUCUGCGAAUAAGGAUCGGCUAACUCCGUGCCAGCCGCGGC
RNAcentral lists this ribosomal RNA (437 nucleotides) under uncultured bacterium. Its description in RNAcentral is "bacterial SSU rRNA". It matches the Rfam family "Bacterial small subunit ribosomal RNA", at positions 90 to 518 of the family's 1533-position model. The record is from RNAcentral.